This 28-nucleotide non-coding RNA is filed under the name Cricetulus griseus (Chinese hamster). The record is from RNAcentral. Lineage: Eukaryota; Metazoa; Chordata; Mammalia; Rodentia; Cricetidae.
UCUGGCUGUAGGAAGAGUUGGGUCUACU